RNAcentral lists this ribosomal RNA (494 nucleotides) under Veillonella atypica. RNAcentral's name for it is "bacterial SSU rRNA". It matches the Rfam family "Bacterial small subunit ribosomal RNA", at positions 28 to 492 of the family's 1533-position model. The record is from RNAcentral. Lineage: Bacteria; Bacillati; Bacillota; Negativicutes; Veillonellales; Veillonellaceae.
GACGAACGCUGGCGGCGUGCUUAACACAUGCAAGUCGAACGAAGAGCGAUGGAAGCUUGCUUCUAUCAAUCUUAGUGGCGAACGGGUGAGUAACGCGUAAUCAACCUGCCCUUCAGAGGGGGACAACAGUUGGAAACGACUGCUAAUACCGCAUACGGUCCAAUCCCGGCAUCGGGACUGGAUGAAAGGUGGCCUCUAUUUAUAAGCUAUCACUGAAGGAGGGGAUUGCGUCUGAUUAGCUAGUUGGAGGGGUAACGGCCCACCAAGGCGAUGAUCAGUAGCCGGUCUGAGAGGAUGAACGGCCACAUUGGGACUGAGACACGGCCCAGACUCCUACGGGAGGCAGCAGUGGGGAAUCUUCCGCAAUGGACGAAAGUCUGACGGAGCAACGCCGCGUGAGUGAUGACGGCCUUCGGGUUGUAAAGCUCUGUUAAUCGGGACGAAUGGUUCUUGUGCGAAUAGUGCGAGGAUUAGACGGUACCGGAAUAGAAGCC